GUACUCACUCCCGCCCGCAGGCAGGGUCGGUGAGCCUCGGUGCAGGGUGCCAUUUUCUCUCCUUGUUAGACCUUCCGGAGCUGAGCAGGAGGCGGCUGCUGAUGUGUUCUGUGUCCUGCAAGCAGGUCUGGCAGGGCACAGCAUGAUUGAAGAGGACUGGAAUGCAGAGAUGGGGGACGAGGCGUUGCUCCCAUCCCUUGAGAAGGUUAGCUUGUUUGAAAGACCAAAUGACCUCUCAUCUGGCUUCAGUCCGAGUGUAAGCUCAUUCGGUACUGAUGAAUUUUUGAACAGACAGUGUCAACCAAUGAGUAGUUUCGGUAGAGGAAGGAAUUUUGCAGCCAAAGGUAACUUCCUCUAAUGGCUGUAAUUCUACUGGCUAGUCCUAUAUUAUAUAUUAAAUUUUGCUUAUUAAGGUGCUCAGUUUUGUU
RNAcentral lists this long non-coding RNA (428 nucleotides) under Manacus vitellinus (golden-collared manakin). RNAcentral describes it as "lncRNA (ENSMVIG00005008683.1)". Lineage: Eukaryota; Metazoa; Chordata; Aves; Passeriformes; Pipridae. The record is from RNAcentral.